GUCGUUGUAGUAUAGUGGUGAGUAUCCCCGCCUGUCACGCGGGAGACCCGGGUUCGAUCCCCGGCAACGGCG
Molecule: transfer RNA, 72 nt
Organism: Ipomoea nil (Japanese morning glory)
Lineage: Eukaryota; Viridiplantae; Streptophyta; Magnoliopsida; Solanales; Convolvulaceae
Rfam family: tRNA
About the family: Transfer RNA (tRNA) molecules are approximately 80 nucleotides in length. Their secondary structure includes four short double-helical elements and three loops (D, anti-codon, and T loops).
Source: Rfam